GGUGAGAAGGGAACAAUUGAGCGUAUUCUCCCUAUAUAAUACAAUUUGUGUUAGUGGACAUUUAUUGCAGCAAACUGUGUGAUAUCCAACAUUGAUUUUGAGACUUUUACUGUCUAAUCCUAGGAGGGUAUCUGAAAAGAAAAUUCGGCCAGUUCGAAUCAGCUGAUUGAAUCACAGAACACUUGAGAAAUCGCGGGAUGAUCUCUUUAAAAAUCAACUCACCCAGUAAAAGCUGCUCCUUAUUGCAUCAUAGAACACUUGUGAUGUUAUCAUUCUAUCGCCAAGGAGGGUGUCUGAAAAGAAAAUUCGCCCAAUUCGAAUCUGCUGAUUGAAUCACAGAACACUUGACAAAUCGCGGGAUGAUCUCUUUAAAAAUCAACUCACCCAGUAAAAGCUGCUCCUUAUUGCAUCAUAGAACACUUGUGAUGUUAUCAUUCUAUCGCCAAGGAGGGUGUCUGAAAAGAAAAUUCGCCCAAUUCGAAUCUGCUGAUUGAAUCACAGAACACUUGACAAAUCGCGGGAUGAUCUCUUUAAAAAUCAACUCACCCAGUAAAAGCUGCUCCUUAUUGCAUCAUAGAACACUUGUGAUGUUAUCAUUCUAUCGCCAAGGUAACUAACAUGGGCAGAGGGUGGUAAGAGCAAGUAAGGGACUUAGAGAGAUCAUUCCUGCAAAGGAAACAAGGAGGCAGGUUGUGGGUGGUGUUUGGGACAGUGGUAUUUUGACAUAGUAUGUAAUGUUAUGUUAUACAAAUAUUGGCUGCGGAUUAUUGUAUUAUGCUGUGAUUUGCGAUAGAUUACUAUGUGGCACUGGGUCUGGGUUUAGAAUUGGCUUCUUGUGGGUUAGUGGGUUACUGUUAAUGCCACGACUAUUUUGUUAUGGAAAUUUCAGUGGUGGAAUGAUAGUUUUGAUAUUCUAUAAUACCCUCUUUCAGAUUAGUUGCUAAUUUUCUCAUGGCUCAUUUACACUUCAAGAUAUUUAUAUUUAUUUUCAAUACUUAGAGAACUCGUUGACUUUUGGAGCCAAUGGCACAAGACCAUAAGAUUCGUCAAGGGAUCUCAGAGAUGUCAUAAGUUUACCCACCCACUUCGCCAUAGGCAAACUUUGGGAUCCACAGAGGAACAGUGAAUAGUUUAAGAUCCCAUAGCCUUGGAAUUAUUUUGUUGAGAAUUUCAUACCUUUCAAAACGUGUUGUGUGCCAGAGAUACAAAAAUUCAUCUGUUGUUCACAUCCUUAGGUUGAGGGCCGGAAUGUACACUUGUAAUCAAUCUAUUUAGAGACAGUUUUGACAUUGGGUGGAAUAUUGUUCAGUUUCUUCAUUUAUAAAAUGAAGAUAGUAAUACAGUCAAUUUCCUGGAGUGGUUGUCAUAUGCAGAUAGGAUAUUCGGAAAGCACUUUGGUAACCUGAAACUAUCGUACAAAUGAGAGAUAUUAUUAUCAUUAUCAGCACUGUUUUUCCCAUUUAUUACAUGCUUAUCACUACUGUGACCUCUUGGAUAGAAAACCAUGGUCUUGAGGUGACAAGGGAACAAUUGAGCGUAUUCUCCCUAUAUAAUACAAUUUGUGUUAGUGGACAUUUAUUGCAGCAAUCUGAGUGAUAUGCAACAUUGAUUUUGAGACUUUUACUGUCUAAUCCUAG
This is an RNA transcript of Trichosurus vulpecula (common brushtail), 1637 nucleotides long. RefSeq lists it as uncharacterized. The record is from RefSeq and is a predicted model, not a curated record. The transcript has 3 exons. NCBI's taxonomy places the organism in Eukaryota, Metazoa, Chordata, Mammalia, Diprotodontia, Phalangeridae.